Long non-coding RNA from Rhododendron vialii, 294 nucleotides. RefSeq lists it as uncharacterized. The transcript has 2 exons. The record is from RefSeq and is a predicted model, not a curated record. NCBI's taxonomy places the organism in Eukaryota, Viridiplantae, Streptophyta, Magnoliopsida, Ericales, Ericaceae.
GUUUCCAGCCAAACGGCCAAGCUCCAAUCUCUUCCACAGACAAGAAAUUUACUCUUCAAAUACGAGUUAACGGUGUUUAUGUAGCAAAAUUUUCACCUCCACGACGGCUAAGAACUGAUGAAAUUCCUCCAGCAAUCAAUGAUUUUAGACUUGCUGCGAAGAAUGCUAUGGAAGCUGUGCUAUGGCCCGGAUAAUCUUUGAAAUUCUAUGAGGCAAUCUUUGAAAUUUCAUCGUGAUAUUGAAAAUAAAUUCGUUUUGACUGUUGUUCUUCAAGGAGUUGGCCCAGUUGUUUUA